ACGCGCCCCGCUGAUGACUCUGUGGAAGCGAGCAGGCGGCGUUCUUCCCCGUUGAG
Molecule: non-coding RNA, 56 nt
Filed under: Geobacter sulfurreducens KN400
Lineage: Bacteria; Pseudomonadati; Thermodesulfobacteriota; Desulfuromonadia; Geobacterales; Geobacteraceae
Source: RNAcentral